AGAAACACCUGGCAAGUGAGAUCCCAGGAUCAAGAAGGUGGUUUUUCCAGGAUGAGUCUCAUCCAUGGCAUUUUGCGUGUGCUGACUCCUGAGAGUUCUCCCAAAUGCAGGAAACUUAACUGCAUAGUUUGUGGUAUUGGGGACUGCUUUCAUGCUCCUCCCUC
Small nuclear RNA from Nannospalax galili (Upper Galilee mountains blind mole rat), 164 nucleotides. Its record names the gene U1. It matches the Rfam family "U1 spliceosomal RNA". Rfam says of the family: U1 is a small nuclear RNA (snRNA) component of the spliceosome (involved in pre-mRNA splicing). The record is from Ensembl. NCBI's taxonomy places the organism in Eukaryota, Metazoa, Chordata, Mammalia, Rodentia, Spalacidae.